CGAUUGAUCUUGUCGGUAAUACACGUUUGUUUCAAUACGUAAGCCAUGCAUUUCUAAGAUCAGUGCCCCUGGAGGCGCGAAUCUGUGGACGGCUCAUUACAUCAGUUAUACUGUGCUCGAUCGAUCGACUUUUUAUGAAUAACCUCUGGGAAAGCCAGGGCUAAUGCAUACCAAAGGGUGCGUGGCCUUUGCGCCGCGUGACUCGUACUUUUUAGCUUGAAAAGCCGGCUCGCCUCACGGCGGAACCCGCGACGAUUCAUGAAAAUUUCCACUAACCGGCUGCAAAGCGGCGCCCUGUGCGUCGUCGCCGGCGUUUCGAAUCAGUUUCUGCCCUAUCAACUUUGGACUGUAGUGUAGAGGACUACAGUGGUUUUAACGGGUACGGAGAAUCGGGGUUUGACUCCGGAGAAGGAGCCUGAGAAACGGCUGCUACUUCUAAGGAAGGCAGCAGGCGCGCAAAUUUCCCAAUGCCAAAUCGGUGAGGAAGUGACAAAAAAUAUCAACGCAGGUCGAAGCAUUCGACUUGCGAUUGAAAUGAGAACAAGGUAAAACGCUUAUCGAGUAGCCACUGGAGGGCAAGUCUGGUGCCAGCAGCCGCGGUAACUCCAGCUCCAGGAACGUGUGUUAAUGUUGUUGCUGUUAAAAAGCUCGUAGUUGGAUGUGUGCGGCGUUUCGUAUGAACUGGCCCGGCAGAAUGCCGUGUGCUGUUCUCGCGUCGCAUUCCGCUCCGUCGUGGGGGUCGGCGUCCCUCCGGGGUCGCGUCGGCCAUCUAACCCGCACGGGGCCGUUUACUUUGAGAAAAUGAGAGUGCUCCAAGCAGCCGAAUCACAUUCGGGCGUUGAAUCAUGCAGCAUGGGAUAAUGGAACAGGAUCUUGCUCCGCGUUUCGUUGGUUUUUGGGUGCGAGAUAAUGAUUAACAGACACGGGCGGGGGUACUGGUAUUCACAUGUCAGAGGUGAAAUUCAUGGAUUUUGUGAGGACCAACCUAUGCGAAAGCGUCUACCUAGGACGUUUUCAUUAAUCAAGAACGAAAGUUAGGGGAUCGAAGAUGAUCAGAUACCGUCGUAGUCCUAACCAUAAACGAUGCCGGCUAGGAAUUCGGAGACGUUACAAACUUUUACGACUCCCCGAGCGCCUUUUGAGAAAUCGAAGCUUUUGGGUUCGGGGGGGAGUAUGGUCGCAAGGCUGAAACUUAAAAGAAUUGACGGAAGGGCACCACCAGGCGUGGAGCUUGCGGCUUAAUUUGACCCAACACGGGAAAACUUACCAGGUCCAGACAUAAGAAGGAUUGACAGAUUGAGAGCUCUUUCAUGAUUUUAUGGGUGGUGGUGCAUGGCCGAUCUUAGUUGGUGGAGUGAUUUGUCUGGUUGAUUCCGUUAACGAACGAGACCUCCGCAUGCUAACUAGUUAC
RNAcentral lists this ribosomal RNA (1411 nucleotides) under metagenome. RNAcentral describes it as "SSU rRNA". It matches the Rfam family "Eukaryotic small subunit ribosomal RNA", at positions 5 to 1362 of the family's 1831-position model. The record is from RNAcentral.